RNAcentral lists this ribosomal RNA (438 nucleotides) under uncultured bacterium. Its description in RNAcentral is "bacterial SSU rRNA". It matches the Rfam family "Bacterial small subunit ribosomal RNA", at positions 29 to 479 of the family's 1533-position model. The record is from RNAcentral.
AAUGAACGCUGGCGGCAUGGAUUAGGCAUGCAAGUCGAACGUGAAGCUCCAGCUUGCUGGAGUGGAAAGUGGCGCAAGGGUGAGUAACACGUGAGCAACCUGCCCCCGACUUCGGGAUAGCCCCGGGAAACUGGGAUUAAUACCGAAUGCGGUUACCGGAUCGCAGGGUCUGGCAAUCAAAGAUUAAGUUCGGUCGGGGAUGGGCUCGCGUCCCAUUAGCUUGUUGGUGAGGUAACGGCUCACCAAGGCCGAGACGGGUAGGUGGUCUGAGAGGAUGGUCACCCACACUGGGACUGAGACACUGCCCAGACUCCUACGGGAGGCUGCAGUCGAGAAUCUUCCGCAAUGGGCGCAAGCCUGACGGAGCAAUGCCGCGUGAGGGAUGACGGCCUUCGGGUUGUAAACCUCUGUCACCCGGGACGAACAAAUGACGGUACC